CACAAAAUGACUGACGAAUAGAAAUACUUUUCUAAAGAUUAUUACAUAGAAAUAAUAUCACCGCAGUAAACAAACAUUUAAAUACAGUUAUAAACAAAAUUGAUAAUUUGAAAAAUAAAAUAAAAUGUAAAUUUACAUUUAUGCAACAUGUACAAAGCCUUACUGUAUAUAUAUUCACUAUUUGACGAUUUGGCUAUAAUUACGAGUGCUCCUUAUGUAGGUUAUAAUCUUAUUCUAGUAUACUGACUACUUCAAGAUUUAGUACUGAGAACUGUAUACAGUGUUUUUUUCUUUUUCUAGAACUGAGUAGAAUUCUAGUUUUCGGGAAGUAAGCGCUACGGUGUCGACGUGAUUAUUGAUACAGACAUUCUUGAAUUCUCUAUAAAUUAAAAUAAUCGAGAAUCUAUAGUUCAAAAUACCUCCGUCAUAUUUGACCUACUAUAAGGUGGAUAUGAAUAUUCGACUUAGGUAACAUAUUUUCUAAGGUGCACAAUUAUAAAUAUAGUCAAAGCCUUUCCAUGGUUUUGGUUUAAAAACAAGAAAAGCAAUUCAUACACAACAAAUACAUACAGGUUAUUUUAAAUAAGAUUUUAGUCAUCUGAAUAUAUUAUGAUAAUGAAUCAAGUUUUACAUCAGUGAGAAGUUGCCUGGGAAACAAAUCUUUUCGCAGAUUUUUGACUACUUUAUAAAGUUUAUAAGGAAGACUUAAACAAAACACUAUUCAGGUUCUAAGGAUUGAGGUAAAUCAUCUCAUAUAUAGCAGUUCAAUUCACAUCCUUGUCAUUUUAAAAAUACUUUAAUCUUCAGACUAGCAGUCUCCAGAAAUUCCAAUUCCUGUAAUCCCAAUGUUCGCACAAAUUGUUAUGAAAACUAGAAAGUAACAGACGUAGUGCAUAUAAAGAUCGGUACGGCAAUGUGGGCAUUGACACAGAUCGCUGUCAAUAAAUUCUUUACGUCUAUACUUGUUUUACAACAACAGCAGAAUCUAAAUGAUUUCUUGUUAAUUAUAUUAGUUUUUGCUCGGCUCACUGCAAUACGGUGUUUGUAAUUAAAAUGCGCUCUUAUCACAGUGAAUAAAACGAACAGUACGUGUGACGCUAACGAAAAGAUGAUUAGCGUUAGGAGGUGAACAUAAAAUCGAUUUUUGUUUCCUGAACAUAAAACGGCUCUUAACUGUGAAAUAUUUGCCAUCAUAAGCGAGACGUCUGCUAUGGUUUGAAUAAAAUUUUUGCUUUCUGAAAAGCGGUUGGAAUUUUGCUGGUCGCCUUUACCGUUCUUCUUCUUUUUCUGAAAACAAAUUGUGUACUAAUAUACAAAGCAUGCAUCAAUUAUAUCUUACAACACUUACAGAAGAUGCAUAUAAGUUAGAUGAGAGGUG
This 1378-nucleotide long non-coding RNA is filed under the name Mytilus galloprovincialis (Mediterranean mussel). Lineage: Eukaryota; Metazoa; Mollusca; Bivalvia; Mytilida; Mytilidae. The record is from RNAcentral.